This 490-nucleotide ribosomal RNA is filed under the name uncultured bacterium. RNAcentral describes it as "partial 16S ribosomal RNA". It matches the Rfam family "Bacterial small subunit ribosomal RNA", at positions 30 to 507 of the family's 1533-position model. The record is from RNAcentral.
AUUGAACGCUGGCGGCAGGCCUAACACAUGCAAGUCGAACGGUAACAGGAAGCAGCUUGCUGCUUUGCUGACGAGUGGCGGACGGGUGAGUAAUGUCUGGGAAACUGCCUGAUGUAGGGGGAUAACUACUGGAAACGGUAGCUAAUACCGCAUAACGUCGCAAGACCAAAGAGGGGGACCUUCGGGCCUCUUGCCAUCGGAUGUGCCCAGAUGGGAUUAGCUAGUAGGUGGGGUAACGGCUCACCUAGGCGACGAUCCCUAGCUGGUCUGAGAGGAUGACCAGCCACACUGGAACUGAGACACGGUCCAGACUCCUACGGGAGGCAGCAGUGGGGAAUAUUGCACAAUGGGCGCAAGCCUGAUGCAGCCAUGCCGCGUGUAUGAAGAAGGCCUUCGGGUUGUAAAGUACUUUCAGCGGGGAGGAAGGGAGUAAAGUUAAUACCUUGGCUCAUUGACGUUACCCGAAGAAGAAGCACCGGCUAACUCCGUG